UUAAAAGGCGGUUUCAGAUUCUAAACCUUUGAACACAACUCAGACCUCUCAGCUGCUGCAAAGACGUUUCGUGGCUGCAAGAACCAAAUAGUUGGAAACAACCUGGAAAACGUGGAAAACAGUUGUAAAGAAACGGACUACAUUGUUGGAAAAGCUGAAAUACUCUGUAAAACUCACAUCCACACAGAAUAAGAUGCCAGGAGAAAUGGGAGAAGAGGUUUGCAUGCAUUUAAAGUUGCCCCUGGUGACCCCCGAAUCCCUUGAGAAAGUCAUCGGCCCCUGUGUGCAAGAUAUUUCACACAAGGAGUGGAUGUCUCUGGAUGGCUGUGAAAAUGGAUCAGAAGCGGGCAUUAUGCUGUUCGACAUGUGUCGUGCAUUAAUAGGUGAAAUUAGCACCUUGGUCCUGGAGGAUGUGGAGCCACAGGUUCUUGCCUCGGACCACUAUCAUUUAUGUGGCGAUGAUGAAACUGUGCAGGGCGGGUGCAGUCACUGCAGAGUGACGGAGCAGGACAUUCAAGCCUGCUUUAGGAACAGCCUUCAUCGCUAUUUUAGUGAAGCCCUGAACAUAGCAGAGCAAAGCUCCCACAGCUUGGAUCACUUAGUGAGAUUG
Archocentrus centrarchus (flier cichlid) is the source of this 610-nucleotide long non-coding RNA. RefSeq lists it as uncharacterized. Lineage: Eukaryota; Metazoa; Chordata; Actinopteri; Cichliformes; Cichlidae. The transcript has 3 exons. The record is from RefSeq and is a predicted model, not a curated record.